CCUACGGGUGGCAGCAGUGGGGAAUAUUGCACAAUGGGGGAAACCCUGAUGCAGCGACGCCGCGUGAGUGAAGAAGUAAUUCGUUACGUAAAGCUCUAUCAGCAGGGAAGAAACACUGACCUUACGGUCAGCAGACGGUACCUGAGUAAGAAGCCCCGGCUAACUACGUGCCAGCAGCCGCGGUAAUACGUAGGGGGCAAGCGUUAUCCGGAUUUACUGGGUGUAAAGGGAGCGUAGACGGUGCGCCAAGUCUGGAGUGAAAGCCCGGGGCCCAACCCCGGGACUGCCCUUGGAACUGCAUGGCUGGAGUGCGGUAGGGGCAGGCGGAAUUCCUGGUGUAGCGGUGAAAUGCGUAGAUAUCAGGAGGAACACCGGCGGCGAAGGCGGCCUGCUGGACUGCGACUGACGUUGAGGCUCGAAAGCGUGGGGAGCGAACAGGAUUAGAUACCCGUGUAGUC
Molecule: ribosomal RNA, 458 nt
Filed under: uncultured bacterium
Lineage: Bacteria
Description: partial 16S ribosomal RNA
Rfam family: Bacterial small subunit ribosomal RNA
Source: RNAcentral